UUGUAUGACAUCUGCUUCCGCACUCUGAAGCUUGCUACUCCAACUUUUGGUGAUCUUAACCACCUCAUAUCUGCUACAAUGAGUGGUGUUACUUGCUGCCUCCGGUUCCCUGGACAGCUUAACUCUGAUCUUCGAAAGCUUGCAGUUAAUCUUAUUCCAUUUCCUCGCCUGCAUUUCUUCAUGGUUGGGUUUGCACCUUUGACUUCUAGAGGAUCACAACAGUAUCGGGCUUUGACUGUCCCUGAACUAACCCAGCAGAUGUGGGAUGCCAAGAACAUGAUGUGUGCUGCUGAUCCAAGGCAUGGACGUUAUCUUACUGCCUCUGCCAUGUUCCGUGGAAAGAUGAGCACCAAGGAAGUUGAUGAGCAGAUGAUCAAUGUCCAAAACAAAAACUCAUCAUACUUUGUUGAGUGGAUUCCAAAUAAUGUGAAAUCCAGCGUCUGUGACAUUCCACCUAGGGGCCUCUCCAUGUCAUCCACCUUCAUUGGGAACUCUACCUCUAUCCAGGAAAUGUUCAGGAGAGUGAGUGAACAAUUCACUGCCAUGUUCAGGAGAAAGGCCUUCUUGCACUGGUAUACUGGUGAAGGAAUGGAUGAGAUGGAGUUUACUGAAGCUGAAAGCAACAUGAAUGAUCUGGUGUCUGAGUACCAGCAGUACCAGGAUGCUACUGCUGAUGAGGAGUAUGAAGAUGAGGAGGAAGAGGAAAUGGAGCACAUGUGAAGGACUACAAAGUAAGAAGUGAUUAUUGGCUUAGCUAUGGUAUAUUAUGGGAAGCUAUUGCACAAUCAGCAUUCUAGCUGGUAUCUGGUUAUAAGAGGGGAAAUGAACUUCACCAGGAGCAUAAGAACAUUACUCAUUUUCAUUUCCACUAAUUAAGAAGUAAUGACUGGUGAAGGGGCCAAGUUGAAUAAAUGCUUAGAAGUAGCUAUAUGAUCUAUGAUAUCUGUACUGUUCAUUAUAUUAUGUAGUAUGUUGUUAUUUCAUAUUUCAGCUGAUAAAUUUGUACCGUGCACCCUCUCCCUCUCCUAUAAUAUAUGGAGCAUGAUGAUAUUUAUGGACGUUGAAAGAUGGCUCGUUUAAUGCGUGUUAUAUCUGAAUUACAUUUUGUUGAUGAA
RNAcentral lists this unclassified non-coding RNA (1115 nucleotides) under Hevea brasiliensis (rubber tree). Lineage: Eukaryota; Viridiplantae; Streptophyta; Magnoliopsida; Malpighiales; Euphorbiaceae. The record is from RNAcentral.